UGCACUAACUUUAAAUUCACAAAAGAAAUCUAAAAAAAAAAAACUAACACAUGUUGUCUUUUUUGCAGACCUGGUCAGAUCCAGGCAAGGCUCGGCGUUCUGCACAACCUCCUUUCAGCCAGCAGAGGACUCUGAGGCAUGCCUGGAUGAUUUCUUUGUCUGGAUUAGAACAGCAAGUGAAACGCCAGUGAAGGCUGCCAUUAAAGUGGUGAUGAAAUAACAGAUGAAAGCCCCAUUUUCCCCAAAGCCACCCUUGUCAACAUUUAACAUGUCUGAAAUUGAAAGAAGAAAUACAUUUUAACCGUUUGUUACUGUUUCUAUUAAACUUAUAUCACCCUCAACGCAAAACAAAGUAAGCUACCUUAGUAAGUAUAAAAAAAUGAGUUAGAUAAUAUUCUUCUGAGCAGAUCUUUAGCAUUGUUUUUCAGGAUGUUUGAGGGCUACUGAUGAGAGGUUUAACACACAGACUCAUGACUGGCAGGAAUACCAUCUUAAUUCUGUAGGGAAAAAGUUAUACAGCACAAACACGAUAAUUUUCAAAAAGUAGAAACUGGUUAAAAAGUUGUAAUUUAAUGUUAUUUUUCUUACAGAGUCAAAAUAAUACAUACAGUCUCAAAUAUACAUAUAACACCACUAAGAUUUGGGCAAGUAUCUUCAACAAGGUCCUAUAUUUCUGACAGCAUAUUUGACCACUCUUCUAGUUAACAUUGGUAGAGGAUUUCUUAUUUAUUUAUAGGCCCAAACUUCUCUUUUAAGCCUCAUGGUUUGUUUCCCUGCCCUGUUUCUCAUGCCUGUUGUAAAUAGUUUUUUUUUUUCAUUAUUAAAAUCUUGUACCUUCCA
Fundulus heteroclitus (mummichog) is the source of this 840-nucleotide long non-coding RNA. RefSeq lists it as uncharacterized. Lineage: Eukaryota; Metazoa; Chordata; Actinopteri; Cyprinodontiformes; Fundulidae. The transcript has 2 exons. The record is from RefSeq and is a predicted model, not a curated record.